Molecule: ribosomal RNA, 246 nt
Filed under: uncultured bacterium
Lineage: Bacteria
Description: partial small subunit ribosomal RNA
Rfam family: Bacterial small subunit ribosomal RNA
Source: RNAcentral
AGAAUCAACGCUGGCGGCGUGCCUAACACAUGCAAGUCGCACGAGAAAGGGGAGCAAUCCCUGAGUACAGUGGCGCACGGGUGAGUAACACGUGAAUAAUCUACCUCCGAGUGGGGAAUAAACUGAGAGAAAUCUUAGCUAAUACCGCAUAACACUUACGAGUCAAAGCAGCAAUGCGCUUGGAGAGGAGUUCGCGGCAGAUUAGUUAGUUGGCGGGGUAAUGGCCCACCAAGACGAUGAUCUGUA